CCCUUAGAUGUUCUGGGCCGCACGCGCGCUACACUGAUGCAUUCAACGAGUUUCUUCCUGGUCCGAGAGGAAUGGGUAACCUUUUGAAAGUGCAUCGUGAUAGGGAUAGACUAUUGCAAUUAUUGGUCUUCAACGAGGAAUUCCUAGUAGACGUAGUUCAUCAGACUGCAUCGAUUACGUCCCUGCCCUUUGUACACACCGCCCGUCGCUCCUACCGAUUGAAUGCUCAGGUGAGCCAUUCGGACUUUCAUCAUGCUGGUUUCCAGUUUUGAUGAAGGAAAGUCUUGCGAAUCUUAUCAUUUAGAGGAAGGAGAAGUCGUAACA
RNAcentral lists this ribosomal RNA (324 nucleotides) under uncultured eukaryote. RNAcentral describes it as "partial 18S ribosomal RNA". It matches the Rfam family "Eukaryotic small subunit ribosomal RNA", at positions 1470 to 1796 of the family's 1831-position model. The record is from RNAcentral.